GAUGAAGAACGUAGCGAAAUGCGAUAAGUAAUGUGAAUUGCAGAAUUCAGUGAAUCAUCGAAUCUUUGAACGCACAUUGCGCCCCCUGGUAUUCCGGGGGGCAUGCCUGUCCGAGCGUCAUUACAACCCUCAAGCUCAGCUUGGUGUUGGGCCCCGCCGCCCCGGCGGGCCCUAAAGUCAGUGGCGGUGCCGUCCGGCUCCGAGCGUAGUAAUUCUUCUCGCUAUAGAGUCCCGGUGGAUGCUUGCCAUUAACCCCCAAUUUUCUAUGGUUGACCUCGGAUCAGGUAGGGAUACCCGCUGAACUUAAGCAUAUCAAUAAGCGGAGGA
RNAcentral lists this unclassified non-coding RNA (327 nucleotides) under soil metagenome. RNAcentral's name for it is "partial contains 5.8S ribosomal RNA, internal transcribed spacer 2, and large subunit ribosomal RNA". The stretch from base 1 to 120 matches the Rfam family "5.8S ribosomal RNA", at positions 35 to 154 of the family's 154-position model. The record is from RNAcentral.